CGUAAGGCGCCGAAUGAGUCAUUAAAAAAUUAACAUCAUCCGAUCCCUAGUCGGCAUAGUUUAUGGUUAAGACUACGACGGUAUCUGAUCGUCUUCGAUCCCCUAACUUUCGUUCUUGAUUAAUGAAAACAUCCUUGGCAAAAUGCUUUUCGCAGUAGUUAGUCUUCAAUAAAUCCAAAGAAUUUCACCUCUGACAAUUGAAUACUAAUGCCCCCAACUAUCCCUAUUAAUCAUUACGUCAAUCCUAAGAAACCAACAAAAUAGGAUCGAACGUCCUAUUCCAUUAUUCCAUGCUAAUGUAUUCAAGCGUUAGCUUGCUUUAAACAC
RNAcentral lists this ribosomal RNA (327 nucleotides) under uncultured Glomus. Its description in RNAcentral is "partial 18S ribosomal RNA". Lineage: Eukaryota; Fungi; Glomeromycota; Glomeromycetes; Glomerales; Glomeraceae. The record is from RNAcentral.